AACAGGCGGAAUUCUUUUUUUAUAUUAUACAUGCAGAUUCUUUAGAAUAAUUUGCUUUCUGCAUUUUUCAAGUGGAAAUAUAUUCCUUAAAGUCACCUCCUCUCCUUCAUCUUCCUCCUAAAGGGAUUUCAGUAUAAAAGAGAAAGGCAGUCACCUGGGCUACAUGUCCUCAGGGUUCUUCUCAUCCUCUGGGACUGGGGAAACCAUUGGCCUGUCUUUCCCCAGAGCUGUCCCAUUCACAAUAUCUGAAGUGAAAGACCUUAAAACUUGUUAAGCUCUACAUUUUAUAGCUGAAGCUCAAAAAGUUAAGUAACCGGUAUAGUAUUUUCUCUACCGUGAUUCUGACUAGUCCAGGGACUCAUUCUACAUAGCUGACCCCUGAAGACAUGAAGGUCAAGGGCACUGACUCCCCCUCAUCCUCAGUCAAAAAUCCACGAAUUGUUCUCUGAGCCCCAGCAACAAAGGCCUUGAUAAUGACUCACCCAAGGGCGGGGCAGGACGCUCAAACAGUGAGGCUCGAAUCAGGACUCACCUUUUAGUUUCUUUGAUUCCACACAGUGUGAUUGACAUCUUUUAAAGAUCUGUAAAAUGAAAAUACAGGUACUUUAUUUAUUGAAACAGGUCCACAUAAGUGGACGGAUGAAGUGCAAAACCCUUGUUUAAGGGUCCGCUGUAUACAUCCCGAGCACUGGACUUGGAGUGAAACAUGAUCCACGUUUGUGAUCCUGGCCAAAUCACACCUCUGUUUUUCAAAAUGGGAGUAACGCUCAGUCCAAAAAAUUAUGAGGAUUAAAUAAUGGUUUUGAACAUGUUCUAUGAAUGGUAGACUGUUAAAAAAAAGUUAUUACAUCAUUUUACACGAGGUCACUGGUUCUCCUAGGACAACGGGUCCCUGGCGCCUGGAAAAGGUGUCAUCCUGUGCAUGGACCUGGGGAGGGCGGUAGGUCUCCGUCUUCAGCUCGGCUUGUCUUUCCAGUCGCAGGCCCUUCUGCAGAAGAAUCCUAGUUCAGCUGUUGGUUUGUUAGGGCUCUCUGGCUAGUAGAAAGCAACACUAAAUGUCUGAAUUUAGUAUCCAACAGUCUCCUUUUAAGUCUCAUUAGAGGGAUUAAGGUGCAACAAAGGGAAUCCUGUCCUCUCGCUGUGCUGAGAAUUCCCAGGAGUCUUCCUCUCAGUGGUGGAAGAAGAAAACACAGGCCAGUCCCUCCUAACUGCUCUCUCCCUGGCUAGAAUAGCCAUAACUCGGGGAGAGAAAAACCCUUCCCAGUAGGACUCUUACCAGAGGUACGAACAGCCUUCUGCUCAGCCUUCUUUCCUCUUCAUCGAAGGAUGACAAAGGAGGAGCAUUCGAGUGCUGGGGCCUUUACUCUGUCCCACCACUGUUGGCAGGGAGGGUGGCGAGCACACCUGAUCUCUCUAACCCAGCUCUACACCAGACUGCCCAGGGCUGGGCCUCUGCCUUCCCUCUGCAAGGGGACACCUGGUGAUGCAGAGCCUGGUCCGUGACCCAGGAUACAGCCUGGAUAAGCUGGUCCAGAUCUUCCCACAGGAAUUCCAACAGGAAACCUUGAGAGUGGGGCACAGGUGGAACCCGGCACGCAAAGAAGGAUGACAUGGGGUACAAGUGUAGCCCUGUGCAACUUAUACAAAACAGAUGAUGAUGAGGAAAUGAACAAGGCCAUUGAUUCAGCACUGAACUGUGUCAAUACAUUAUUUUUAAGAGACAUUUUACAGGUUAGAAAGCCUUUCCAAACAUUAGAUGAGUCUCUACUACAUGACAAACCCAAACCUGGCCUAUCUAGCCUUAGAGACGAUGCUGCAAAGAAGGGAAGACAGGAUGAAGAGCAGGAGUGUAGGAAGCUGCAGCUCAGGUUCCGCUUCCUACAGCCUCAUGAGGGCGUGUCUUAACGUCAUGAACAUGAACCCUUGUGCUCAGCCCCAGUGAACCCGCAGAUCAGCGUGAAUCUGUUCCCCACGGUGGAAAAGGUUGUGAUGAUUCUCAGAUGGAAAUUCAAGUUUGGUUUUCUGCAAAUGCUUAAUGUAGGAACUUUAAACAGUCCUUUAUGAUACUUUAAAAAGCUUACAGAACUUAAAAAUUUUUUUAGCUAAAAUAAAGCACCUUGCAGUAUCAUGCAGCCUCCCAAUUCCUUAUAGAACAUGGCUCAACAGUGAAGAAACAAUUUAUGCUCAAAAGUCUCAAGUAAUGCAUAGCUUAAAGAUAAAAGUUAAUACAAGACAAACUUUCCUAACAAGACUAUUGACGGGUCCAGUGGAAAGCUGCAAGAGGCCAGUAAGUCACUGUGCUUCAGUUUUAAAUUACAGCUAAAUAGAAUCUAGUAUUAAAAAUAGGGGUGUUUCUGUUUCCCUACCAUUCAUUCUGUCAAACUUCAAGAUAGGUGUCAGGAUGACCUAAAGUGUAAGCAUAAAGGUAGAAAGUAUUACUAUGAUUGAUGAAAGUAUCUUACUAAAAGGGUAUUUGAACACCCGUAACUUACUUUUAAAGCUAAAUGAUUUUUUACCAGUCAUGGAUGUUAAUAAGAUUCAAGAAUUACUUGGGAGUUCCCAUCGUGGCUCAGUGGUUAACGAAUCUGACUGGGAACCAUGAGGUUUUGGGUUUGAUCCCUGGCCUCGCUCAGUGAGUUAAGGAUCCAGCGUUGCUGUGGCUGUGGUGUAGGCCAGCAGCUAUAGCUCUGACUGGACCUCUAGAGCCUGGGAACCUCCACGUGCCGUGAGUGCAGCCCUAGAAAAGACAAAAAGACCAAAAAAAACAAAAAACAAAAAAACCUUGAACUGGGAGUUCCCACUGUGGCCAGGGGUUAAGGAUCCAGCAUUGUGACAGCUGUGGCCUAGGUCAUAGAUUCAAUCAUUGGCCCUCGGGGAACUUGCACAUGCUGUGGGUGCAGAAAAAAAAAAAAAAAAAAAAAAAAAAAAAACCCACAAAAAAAACACUAGAAAUGGUGUUAUUUUCAUCAACGAAAUCAUUCAUUCUCUCCAGUGAUACUGCAACACUUUGCACUCCAUUUUGUACAAUAUGGAAAGCUACUGUAUUAUAUGACAAACGCCUUUCACACGUUUUUAUCACCGUAUGUUUUGAGAACAGAGGUCAUGUUUUAUAAUUUCUAAUAGCUUUAUUACAUCCAGUGCAGAGCUCUGCACAUGACAGGAACACAUACUAUGACUACACGACUUUAGCAUAGGGUAGUUUCAACAUAAUUGCUCAUAAUGACAGAAUGAGAACUAAAAAGGAAAUACAACACCAAGUUAACCUGUUCAACAUCUGUUGGCACAGUUUACGCUCGCCCUACGCUGAGCACAAGCAACACGACGGUAAAGGAGACACCUGUGUGCCCCCAGCAGCCCACCUCCAAGGAGUGGUUACUGCCCCCGGAGACCACAGACCGCUGGGGGUCUCCCAGAAGACAGGUUGUCUGCAAAGCCUAGCACAUACCUGGACAACUGUGUUUCAAGUGUUUGCUGAUAUGUGGUGAUUCGUGUGCACAUUUAUCAUCCCAAGCAGGAGAUACUGACCCGAAAGAGAUUUAAACAAACCAGACAUUUAAAAAAGCACACGUGGAAAACACUAUAAACCUCCAAUACGAAAGUUUUAAAGUUUUAAGAAAACUGAAAGCUUGAAGAGUCGAGAAAGCUUUUUGGAAAGAGGUACGUCAUAGGAAUCUUCGAAGAAUUACUAGCACUUCUAACCUGUACCUAAGGUACAAAUACAUUUCAAAGGCUUGCAAGGGACAUAAAAUAUUUGCUUCUUUUAUACAAAGAGGCUCAUUAUAAACCAUCACCUUUACAGAGUAUAAAUAUUGACCAGGAAUCAGAUUUUUGUUUUGCUAAGCUCAGGCUUACCAAAAUUUCUCUUGUUUUGCUAAGCUCAGGCUUACCAAAAUUUCUCUCCAAGGACCGUUAGCCUAGAGCAGAUGAGCUGUACCACCACUAAAGCUUGGCCCAGAGCCCAAAGGGUUGCUGUGCUGCUCAACAAUGCCUUCAAGUACCGUUUUAUCUUAAAUAUUCAAAUGAAUUUUGCAUUCUGUUCUAUAAUAUUUACUUAUUUAAAAUGUAUUCUUGGAGUUCUUGUCAUGGCACAGCGGUUAAUGAAUCUGACUAGGAACCAUGAGGUUGCGGGUUCGAUCCCUGCCCUUGCUCAGUGGGUUAAAGAUCCGGCGUUGCCGUGAGCUGUGGUGUAGGUUGCAGAUGUGGCUCAGAUCCCGCGUUGAUGUGGCUCUGGCGUAGGCUGGCAGCUACAGCUCCGAUUCGACCCCUAGCCUGGGAAAAUCCAUAUGCCAAGAAAUGGCAAAAAAGACAAAAAAUAAACAAUAAAUAAAAUAAAACGUAUUCUUGUAAAUUACCCUUUCCUCAAAAUUAUCUAGAAAAGUCGCUGUCCAAGGAAUAGGUCCUAUUUAAGAAGCAAGGCCAACGAGCUCCGUGGUGGUCUAGUGGUUAGGACUCAGGGCUUUCACCCUUGGGGCCACGGUUCAAUCCCUGCUCUGGGAACUGAGGUUCCACAUCAAGCCACUGCAUGCCACGGCCAAAA
RNAcentral lists this long non-coding RNA (4537 nucleotides) under Sus scrofa (pig). RNAcentral's name for it is "lncRNA (ENSSSCG00065035013.1)". The stretch from base 4426 to 4496 matches the Rfam family "tRNA". Lineage: Eukaryota; Metazoa; Chordata; Mammalia; Artiodactyla; Suidae. The record is from RNAcentral.